AAACCAUAACAUCUCUUUCACUCAUCUCUCUAAAAAAAACCUAACAUCUCUCUCACUCGUCCUUCUCAUAUGGAAACCCUAAACACAUCCAGUCAAUUCGUCUUCUUCGAAGUAUUCCCUUGUUUGAUCAAAUCUUAGCAAAUGACUACUUUAUAAGUUUGUCUUCAUUAUAAUUUAUAUUAUAAUAUUUAUUUAUCUAUUAUUGUU
Molecule: long non-coding RNA, 207 nt
Filed under: Lathyrus oleraceus (garden pea)
Lineage: Eukaryota; Viridiplantae; Streptophyta; Magnoliopsida; Fabales; Fabaceae
Description: Pisum sativum (pea) long non-coding RNA (PSAT_LNC002942)
Source: RNAcentral